This 301-nucleotide ribosomal RNA is filed under the name uncultured bacterium. Its description in RNAcentral is "partial 16S ribosomal RNA". It matches the Rfam family "Bacterial small subunit ribosomal RNA", at positions 509 to 807 of the family's 1533-position model. The record is from RNAcentral.
CAGCCGCCGCGGUAAUACGUAGGUGGCAAGCGUUGUCCGGAAUUAUUGGGCGUAAAGGGCUCGCAGGCGGUUUCUUAAGUCUGAUGUGAAAGCCCCCGGCUCAACCGGGGAGGGUCAUUGGAAACUGGGAAACUUGAGUGCAGAAGGGGAGAGUGGAAUUCCACGUGUAGCGGUGAAAUGCGUAGAGAUGUGGAGGAACACCAGUGGCGAAGGCGACUCUCUGGUCUGUAACUGACGCUGAGGAGCGAAAGCGUGGGGAGCGAACAGGAUUAGAUACCCCAGUAGUCCCUGUCUCUUAUAC